This 258-nucleotide long non-coding RNA is filed under the name Zostera marina. RNAcentral describes it as "long non-coding RNA (ZMAR_LNC000234)". The record is from RNAcentral. Lineage: Eukaryota; Viridiplantae; Streptophyta; Magnoliopsida; Alismatales; Zosteraceae.
AUUGGACUAACUCAAAAGAAACCCAGUGGAGUCGGCGACUCAGCAGGUGGAGUCGGCGACUGGCCUUAGGUUUUCUUGACUUCCGAGCUGAGCAGAGGCUCGAGAAAAAACCAAGUGGAGUCGGUGAUUCACUAUGGGAGUCGGCGAUUCACAAAGGUGGAAUCGGCGACAGACACUAGUGGAAUCGGUGACUGCUUUAGGUAGUUUUUCCUUCGAGUCUGGCCGUGGACAGCACUCUUAGCUAGCAGAAUAACCCGC